Molecule: ribosomal RNA, 251 nt
Filed under: uncultured bacterium
Lineage: Bacteria
Description: partial 16S ribosomal RNA
Rfam family: Bacterial small subunit ribosomal RNA
Source: RNAcentral
UACGGAGGAUGCGAGCGUUAUCCGGAUUUAUUGGGUUUAAAGGGUGCGUAGGCGGACUGUCAAGUCAGCGGUAAAAUACGGGGGCUCAACCUCCGCCCGCCGUUGAAACUGACGGUCUUGAGUGGCGAGAAGUAUGCGGAAUGCGUGGUGUAGCGGUGAAAUGCAUAGAUAUCACGCAGAACUCCGAUUGCGAAGGCAGCAUACCGGCGCCCAACUGACGCUGAAGCACGAAAGCGUGGGUAUCGAACAGG